This 119-nucleotide ribosomal RNA is filed under the name Clostridioides difficile. Its description in RNAcentral is "partial 16S ribosomal RNA". It matches the Rfam family "Bacterial small subunit ribosomal RNA", at positions 1419 to 1533 of the family's 1533-position model. The record is from RNAcentral. Lineage: Bacteria; Bacillati; Bacillota; Clostridia; Peptostreptococcales; Peptostreptococcaceae.
GCCCGAAGCCGAUUAUCUAACCUUUUGGAGUCGCGAAGGUGGAAUCAAUAACUGGGGUGAAGUCGUAACAAGGUAGCCGUAUCGGAAGGUGCGGCUGGAUCACCUCCUUUCUAAGGAGA